This 253-nucleotide ribosomal RNA is filed under the name uncultured bacterium. Its description in RNAcentral is "partial 16S ribosomal RNA". It matches the Rfam family "Bacterial small subunit ribosomal RNA", at positions 524 to 776 of the family's 1533-position model. The record is from RNAcentral.
UACGUAGGGACCGAGCGUUGUCCGGAAUCAUUGGGCGUAAAGAGCGUGUAGGCGGCUUGCUAAGUCUUGCGUGAAAUCUCGGGGCUCAACCCCGAGCGGUCGUGGGAAACUGGCAGGCUAGAGUGCGGGAGAGGAGAAUGGAAUUCCUGGUGUAGCGGUGAAAUGCGCAGAUAUCAGGAAGAACACCCGUGGCGAAGGCGGUCUGCUGGGCAGUAGCUGACGCUGAGGCGCGACAGCGUGGGGAGCAAACAGG